RNAcentral lists this ribosomal RNA (1378 nucleotides) under uncultured bacterium. RNAcentral's name for it is "bacterial SSU rRNA". It matches the Rfam family "Bacterial small subunit ribosomal RNA", at positions 28 to 1381 of the family's 1533-position model. The record is from RNAcentral.
AUUUGAACGCCUGGCGGCAGGCCUAACACAUGCAAGUCGAGCGGAAACGAGUUAUCUGAACCUUCGGGGAACGAUAACGGCGUCGAGCGGCGGAACGGGUGAGUAAUGCCUAGGAAAUUGCCCUGAUGUGGGGGAUAACCAUUGGAAACGAUGGCUAAUACCGCAUGAUGCCUACGGGCCAAAGAGGGGGACCUUCGGGCCUCUCGCGUCAGGAUAUGCCUAGGUGGGAUUAGCUAGUUGGUGAGGUAAGGGCUCACCAAGGCGACGAUUCCCUAGCUGGUCUGAGAGGAUGAUCAGCCACACUGGAACUGAGACACGGUCCAGACUCCUACGGGAGGCAGCAGUGGGGAAUAUUGCACAAUGGGCGCAAGCCUGAUGCAGCCAUGCCGCGUGUGUGAAGAAGGCCUUCGGGUUGUAAAGCACUUUCAGUCGUGAGGAAGGUAGUGUAGUUAAUAGCUGCAUUAUUUGACGUUAGCGACAGAAGAAGCACCGGCUAACUCCGUGCCAGCAGCCGCGGUAAUACGGAGGGUGCGAGCGUUAAUCGGAAUUACUGGGCGUAAAGCGCAUGCAGGUGGUUUGUUAAGUCAGAUGUGAAAGCCCGGGGCUCAACCUCGGAAUAGCAUUUGAAACUGGCAGACUAGAGUACUGUAGAGGGGGGUAGAAUUUCAGGUGUAGCGGUGAAAUGCGUAGAGAUCUGAAGGAAUACCGGUGGCGAAGGCGGCCCCCUGGACAGAUACUGACACUCAGAUGCGAAAGCGUGGGGAGCAAACAGGAUUAGAUACCCUGGUAGUCCACGCCGUAAACGAUGUCUACUUGGAGGUUGUGGCCUUGAGCCGUGGCUUUCGGAGCUAACGCGUUAAGUAGACCGCCUGGGGAGUACGGUCGCAAGAUUAAAACUCAAAUGAAUUGACGGGGGCCCGCACAAGCGGUGGAGCAUGUGGUUUAAUUCGAUGCAACGCGAAGAACCUUACCUACUCUUGACAUCCAGAGAACUUUCCAGAGAUGGAUUGGUGCCUUCGGGAACUCUGAGACAGGUGCUGCAUGGCUGUCGUCAGCUCGUGUUGUGAAAUGUUGGGUUAAGUCCCGCAACGAGCGCAACCCUUAUCCUUGUUUGCCAGCGAGUAAUGUCGGGAACUCCAGGGAGACUGCCGGUGAUAAACCGGAGGAAGGUGGGGACGACGUCAAGUCAUCAUGGCCCUUACGAGUAGGGCUACACACGUGCUACAAUGGCGCAUACAGAGGGCGGCCAACUUGCGAAAGUGAGCGAAUCCCAAAAAGUGCGUCGUAGUCCGGAUUGGAGUCUGCAACUCGACUCCAUGAAGUCGGAAUCGCUAGUAAUCGUGGAUCAGAAUGCCACGGUGAAUACGUUCCCGGGCCU